GCCCGGAUGGUGGAAUCGGUAGACACAAGGGAUUUAAAAUCCCUCGGCCUUCGCGCUGUGCGGGUUCAAGUCCCGCUCCGGGUACCA
Molecule: transfer RNA, 87 nt
Filed under: Salmonella enterica subsp. enterica serovar Montevideo
Lineage: Bacteria; Pseudomonadati; Pseudomonadota; Gammaproteobacteria; Enterobacterales; Enterobacteriaceae
Description: tRNA-Leu
Rfam family: tRNA
About the family: Transfer RNA (tRNA) molecules are approximately 80 nucleotides in length. Their secondary structure includes four short double-helical elements and three loops (D, anti-codon, and T loops).
Source: RNAcentral